AACUUUCAACAACGGAUCUCUUGGUUCCGGCAUCGAUGAAGAACGCAGCGAAAUGCGAUAAGUAAUGUGAAUUGCAGAAUUCCGUGAAUCAUCGAAUCUUUGAACGCACAUUGCGCCCCCUGGUAUUCCGGGGGGCAUGCCUGUUCGAGCGUCAUU
RNAcentral lists this ribosomal RNA (156 nucleotides) under Trichophyton schoenleinii. RNAcentral describes it as "5.8S ribosomal RNA". It matches the Rfam family "5.8S ribosomal RNA". From Rfam's summary of the family: 5.8S ribosomal RNA (5.8S rRNA) is a component of the large subunit of the eukaryotic ribosome. It is transcribed by RNA polymerase I as part of the 45S precursor that also contains 18S and 28S rRNA. The record is from RNAcentral. RNAcentral also lists the same sequence under 2 other names. Lineage: Eukaryota; Fungi; Ascomycota; Eurotiomycetes; Onygenales; Arthrodermataceae.